AAUUCUCCCCCGCGAAGUGACGGCCGAAGAGUUUAUUUGCCUUUUCCUCUCCCGCAGGGAACUGUUCGCCUUCGCCCCUUCGGCUGGAAGAGGCUGCUAAAUCCGGGCGGGCUGCAAGGCUCCCCGCGACGCCGCAGAGCGCGGGGAAGUGACGGGUUUGGCGUUUUGCGGCUGUAGCUUCGCACGGUGCGCUAGCGACGUCUCCCCCCCCGCCGCCCGCCCUCUACACGCAGGCAGCCUCCUCCCCUUUUUUGGACCUGGGACAGGAUCUCGGUGGCUUCGGGGACGGUCGGGCCGAAGUCCCGGGAAUGAGCCACCGGCGCGAGGGAAAGCGGGAGAGGCCUCCUCCUCUUCCUCCCUCUGCCAGCGGGCGGGUGUAACCAGGAGGCGGCGGGCAGCGAGCGGCUGGAGAGAAGGGGGAAGAGAAGGAGACAGAGAAGGUAGGAGGAAUCUCCCCCACCGCCUUCCGAAGAGCAUCCCCGGUGGUCCCAUAUGGGAGAGUGGGGAUCACCCGGGCACGGUUAUUAGUGAUGGCCAGGCUCCAUUGGCGCGUGUCUCCAGUUGCUGUCCUCCUGGCCCUGCAAAGCGAAGCAUCGCGGCUCCUUUUUCUGCUGCCCCGUUUUAAGAUGCCGUGUCUUCCCCUCCCCUCGAUCUAUUAGCCACCAUUCCCUGGCACGCAGUCCCACUUCUGUGUCAGAUGUGGGAUCCUUAAAUGCAUCCUCCUCCUCCCCCCUUUCCCAAACUAAUGGGAUGGGCAGAUGUUUGUUUGCCUCUUAAAACAUUAAGUCGCAGGAUCGUUCUUCAGGAUUCAGCUCUCCUCUUCCUCCUUUCUCUGAAUACUGUAGUUUCCCCUGUCGUUGGUUUUGAUCUAUAUGGUAGUUUCCUUUUCCUAAUGGUAUCGGGGUGCGCGCGUGCUCUCUUUCCUUAAAGAGGGCGACGGCACGGAGGGUUUGUUUCCACCACUCAGCCCAAGGCCCCUUUGCUGUCAGGCGUGGGCCUCGGACAUAAAGGGGAAGGCUGCCGCUUCCAGCAUCCUCCGAGCUUGUUUGCUUGGUGCCUAUUCCCUGUUAGAAAACUCCUAUCGCCCUCUGUGACUACUGACUACUCAACUGUUUUAUAACUGGUAACUUCUGGUAGCUUGUGUGUAUAGUAAAUCCUGAUUGUUCACUUCAUGGGUUUUCUGUUAACGGCUUCUGGUAUAAACACCUAAUAAUCAAGUGUUAACAAUAUAACCACUGAGCAGCUUGCCUGUGUAUUUCGGAAGUGAGCCUUUUGGAAAGUUCAGUGGUGUAUGAGUGCAUGCAGAGCAUGUCUUUAAAUAAGGGAGAUAGAGACACCGUUGUUAGCAUGAUGAUUUAUGAUGAUAAAGACUGUGUGGUUAAAAUCUAUAAGUAACCCAGCAUAAUGAUGUGCAGUUCAGACCUCUGACAUUGCAAGGACUGUCAGUCACAGAUCCAAAGUUGCCCUUAGCUUUUGAACCUAUGUGUUCCUACUUUCAACUCCUGCUGCAUAUUGGUAUCAUUGUAUCUGUGGCUGAAAUGACACACUUUUUCUCUCGUAUGUGUGCACAUACGCAUUUCCUCCCCUCUUCCUGUUUCUUGGGACACAGUCUUCAUUUUCCAAGGUAAUGAGUGCUUUCUGGGCCUUUUCUUAUUGGCUCUGUACUAGACACAGGACCUUAUAUGAUUUAACCAAGACUGAAUUUGUAGCUAAGGUUGGGUUAUGAAGUGUGCAGAGGCGAUUUGAGAGACUGAAUCGAAAUUGACCCAAGACAUGUUGCUUCCUGAAGAACAGGAUGAUGUGAUGAAGAUCAUUAAAAUUUAUAUAAUGCACUUUGUCAAAGACCACAGGGAAGUUUUCAGCACAGAACAUAAAAAAGAAUGCAUAGCAUAAUAUCCAUGCAAAAAAUGUGAACAGCUAUAUAAAUACAAUUCAUAAUAAUAAGCAAUGCAUAGUAAUCAUACGCAGUAGUAUAUAAUAUGGAAUGAACAUAAUUAAUAUCUACCAAGCAGCAAUGUCAAAUUAUGCACAAUGUCAUCCCAAGCAAUAAAUUCCACAACUCAACCUCUGUAAAAUAAAGAAUUUUAUUACCUGCUUAUCUUGGGUGUAACCGUACAACAUAAUACCCCACUUUCUACAUUCCAGUGUACUGACAGUUGAAUUGUACUCCAAAAUUGUUGAUGUAACAACAUCCUGCUGUACACCUGAGGCCUGCAGCCUAGCUCAGAGCGUCAGGGUAGGCUGCAUAGUGCGCACAGCUAUGUCCUCCAAAUGCUUUGCUACUGUUCCCUGUCCCCAAGCAUUUGCCAUCCGAAAUGGCUGUCUCACUCUGACCCCAUUUGCACUAUACAAUUAACACAAUAUCAUACCACUUUAAACAGUCAGUGCUUAAGUUCCAAAGAAUCCUUGGAAUUGUAGUUAAGGGUGCCAAGAGUGGUUAGGAGAACACUUCCCUUCACAGAGCUAUAAUUCUCAGAGUUCCAUAGGAAGAGGAAUUGACUGCUAAACUACUCUGAUAAUUGUAGUUCUGUGAGGAAAAUAGUUGUCUCCUAACAACUCUCAACACUCUUAACAAACUACAGCUCCCAGGAUUAUUAUUUUUUGCAAGGGGGGUGGGGAGCCAUGCCUGCUUAAAGUGGUAGGGUACAAGGCCUCUAAUGGCAGAGUCAACUCUGACCUGUCCAGACCAAAUGUUGUUACCCUGACUAGUUUAAAGCUCGCUUCCUGGUGUUCUGUGUGACAAGAAGUUCAGUGAUUAUGACACCUCUGUUAGAGAGAGCUCGUAACAUGACAUAUGCCAUGAUUAUGUUGUUGACUGCGAGUGUUUCAUGGUGCUGGUUUCAUUGUAAUCAAGCUAAAGGUAUUCGUAAUUAUUAAGGCAAAUCCUCUAAGCAAGUUAUUGCUCAAGAGGGUGCUUGGCAUGUGUCUCUUGGAGGAGAUAAAGCUGAGGCUUUAAGGCAUGACAAGUUGUUUGCCAACAGGUAGCAUAUGUGACAAGCUUGAGAGCUAUGCACACUGCAUUUUACUUUGUGGAUUUUGCAGCUGGAGAAUGUGACCUGGUAUAUUCAGAAUGAGUUUUUGCAAAAGCCGCACAUAAUGUUGAUGCCUGCCUGAUUUCCCUGACAGACAAUAGAAUAUGCACACUGAUCCAGUUCUUAAAUGCAUAUACUUUGAAAUAAGUACCCUGUUGGCUCAGCUAGAAUUGUGUUCUGACUGAGCAAGUGUGCUUACAAUCAGUCUUAAAGUGCCUAAAUGCUACAGUACUACUAAAAUGGUAUAUCAAAAUUCCCAAAGGCUACAAUCCUAAAAGCAUGUAUUAUGGAGUAAAACACAACUGAUCCCAAUAUGUCUUCUGAGUACUGUGUAUGUUCAUAUUAUCAACAGCUGAAUUAGAUCCCUUGAGUUCUAGUUUUGUGUUGUUUAC
Non-coding RNA from Podarcis lilfordi (Lilford's wall lizard), 3424 nucleotides. The record is from the annotation of a GenBank genome assembly. Lineage: Eukaryota; Metazoa; Chordata; Lepidosauria; Squamata; Lacertidae.